CCCCUCUCUUUACCUCUCCUCCAGCUUCCAGGCUUCUCUCUCUCCACCAUUAAUUCCCUGUGCACCUUCUCUUUCCCAUCCUGUCUUUUCUUUUUCGUUGUCUUGUAUUCCUGUUGUCCUUCAACAAUGUGCCAGACCCUGUGUUAGGCGCCUGUUCUCUCACCCGUCCUUUUCACCUUCUCUUUUCGGGCUCCUCCUGUGCAGAACAUUCCUGUCUUCAACAGGUCGUCUUUAUUACCCUAUCCUUUCACUAUAAAUUACCACUGCAGCUCUGAAAACUACUCAUUAGACAAAUGUAAAGCAAAAUUCUGUGGCUGUGGGAUGUUGUUAAGGAGAACUGAAACGUCUUGUGCAGUGUUUGUUAUUUUAUUUAGUUGGAAGGACUGGGAUUAGUCGCAGUAUCCCCAGGCACAUUGUGGAUACUAAGGAUUAGAAAUCGGAUAAGCGAAAGACGUAUGCCCACAAAAACAAUCAGAGGGCAGAAGUUCCUUUUUAUGUCCUCGGGUCUCUAUUUUCAUAUCUUUUAGAACUUUUUUUAUCCGAAUGAAAAGUGAAUUUCAACAAGCAUUUUAAGCUUAGCCAGAUCUUUUAUUUAAAUGGGAUAAUGAUAAAUACUGGCCUUUGGGUUUAAAUGAUUUUAUUGAUGGUGGUACAUAUGAAUUAGACUUAUUUAUUUAGGCUUGGCAAGAAAGAAGUUGUCCUGCUUUGUUCUGUACUUAAAAUUUAACAUUACUGUUUUGCUAGGGGCUGGCAAGGUUUAAUUGCUUAUGGAUGUCAUUCACUUGUGGUAGUGGUUGAUUCCAUUACUGCCCAAACUCUUCAAGUUUUAGAAAAGCAUAAAGCUGAUGUUGUCAAGGUUAAAUGGGCCAGGGAAAACUAUCACCAUAACAUUGGCUCACCAUAUUGCUUGCGCUUAGCUUCUGCUGAUGUCAAUGGGAAGAUCAUCGUCUGGGAUGUAGCAGCAGGAGUAGCUCAGUGUGAGAUCCAAGAGCAUGCCAAGCCUAUCCAGG
This 1010-nucleotide small RNA is filed under the name Pongo abelii (Sumatran orangutan). RNAcentral's name for it is "processed transcript". Lineage: Eukaryota; Metazoa; Chordata; Mammalia; Primates; Hominidae. The record is from RNAcentral.